RNAcentral lists this long non-coding RNA (199 nucleotides) under Hordeum vulgare. RNAcentral's name for it is "long non-coding RNA (HVUL_LNC001134)". Lineage: Eukaryota; Viridiplantae; Streptophyta; Magnoliopsida; Poales; Poaceae. The record is from RNAcentral.
UAGUGAAGCUUCCGUUUCACAUUUUUUCAACAUACAUAAUCACUAUUUCAAACAAACCAGAACAAAAAUAAUUCAUCAAUUAACAUUAAAUUAAUAUAUUACAAUCUGUUACAAUAUUACAAUUUACACUCUACUAUAGUCAAACUAAUCAAACAAAUAUUUUUUGACUAGGGCUUCACUGCUUUGCACUUGGUUUCAC